UUUUUUUUUUUUUUUUUUUUUUUUUUUUUGUGGUGAUGCUAACUGUGAGCCUUGCUUAGUUUUUCUAAUUUGCCGCGGGGCUUUUUGGAGGUUGAAAUAAAAGCUAAAUCUUCUGUUCGUCAUGUCUAGUCCUAAGGUAGUAGAUUACCUAAAGACAGUGUAGUUACCUUCAUUUUCACUUUGCAGUUAAGCAGUGAGAAGCUUUUCCCUUCUGAACCGCAAGAAGCAGACAGAGAUCCUGUGGGUAUCAGUGCUCCUCCAGUGGUAAGAGCCAGAUGUCCAGUUGAGGCGAAACAAAUUGCCUGGGUUGCUCCUUCCGCAGCUCGGCUGCUUUCUGAAUUGUGCUGGCCAACUGUGGUGGCCACUUUCAUCUUCAGAUUCAUCUAGGAGCCAGUCUUUCUCACUAGCUUAAGGAAGAGCGUGCUCUGGCCAGCCUGGGUCUCUCGCCCAGCGUUCGAGGGAGCUGGAUGCCCUGUUUUGUAGUCCUGUCAUGAUGCAGUAAGGAGAAGGUGCUUCCCACUAGAAGAAGGGGCGCCGGGCAGACAGAUCAUAUGUAUGCUUUUUAAGGGCGUCGGGUCAUUUUUUUGGCCCACUUUUAUGAAAUUAAACCAAAAGUAAUGAAUAGGAGAUUAAUAUCUGGAGUUUUGGCAGAAAAAAAAUCGCACUCAUUGUCUGAUUAAUUUUAACUCUAAAUGAGCCUUUACUUGUAGUUCUUUCUUAUCUAAACAUGCUCAUUUAAGCUAAAACGUUUCACAUACUUCUUCCUGCUGCCCAUGGAAGUGAGGGGAAGACCUGCCUUCCAGCGUGACCGACCGUCAGGCCUGAUUUUAUAUACUUCUCUUGAGUUCCCGUCGUGGCACAGCAGAAACGCAUCCGACUAGGAACCAUGAGGUUGCCGGUUCAAUCCCUGGCCUUGCCCUGUGGGUUAAGGAUCCGGCGUUGCUAUGGCUGUGGUGUAUGCCAGCAGCUCCAGGUCCAAUUCGACCCCUAGCCUGGAAACCUCCAUAUGCUUCGGGUGCGGCCCUAAAAAGACAACAAAUAAAAUACAUACUUCUUUUGAGAGUUCUUUUAUGUAGUUUCUUUAGCUCUCUGAGACGGGGGGGGGGGGGGGGGGGUGUAUCCAACUCUCUUGAAGUUCCUGCCUCCCUACAGAUUGCUGAAACCCAUUUUUGUGAUUAGAUUCUUUCUUUCAUUUACUUGGACUCUCAAGCUCUGUCAUUGUCCAUAUGUUGUAUGAUUCAUCUCUGAAGCAAUUUUUUCCCCCUUGAAUUUCAGGCUAGUUUCCCAGUUCCUUUUCAUGACACUGAGUAUGUGGUGAUGGGGACAGUGCUGUUGAUGUGGUUGCGAUUUUCCUGCUCAAAAAGGAAAAUACUUUUUAUCACGGAGUGCUUCUAAUCUAAACUCAAUAGAUAGAUAUAGGUGAUACAUAAAUACCAUCAUGAAGCUGAACAAAUAACUUUGAAUACUGUGUGGUUCUUGUGUUGCUUCCAGUACCUGUCAGGAUAUAUUUUUAGUGUGAAAAUUAAGUGUUGAAAUAACUUCUGGUUUUGGACUGUCUGUAAAAAUGUAUUCUUUAUAGAGUGAGAACAGGCAUUUAAAGGGCAUCUGAUAGAAUCCUCCAGCCUUAACUGAGAUCCCCCCAGAACUACCUCGCCACUUCCUGCUGCUUAAACACAUGUAGUGAUGUUGUGGAAAUGUGUUGUUUUGGAUGUUUUAAUUUAAAAAUCCAUCCUUGUUUUGAACUGAAGUCUGCUAUCUUGUGAUCUUAUCCCCCUUUGCUCUGGAGAAGCACUUAGCACACAGAUGAGUUUUUGAGCUCUUGUUAAACAGUGCAUCUCUUGACAGAAUUAAGAAUGGUCAUCUUUAGGAGUUCCCACCGUGGCAUGGUGGAAACGAAUCCGACUGGGAACCAUGACGUUGCAGGUUCAAUCCCUGGCCCUGAUCAGUGGGUUGAGGAUCCAGGCUAGGAGUCUAAUUGGAGCUGUAGCCGCCGGCCUGCACCACAGCUCACAGCAAUGCCAGAUCGUUAACCCACUGAGUGAGGCCAGGGAUCGAACCCGCAACCUAACGGUUCCUAGUCGGAUUCGUUUCUGCCCUGCCAUGACGGAACUCCUGAAAUUAUCUUUGAUGAAGGACUGUUUUUAAAAAUUCUCUAUGCAUAGCAGACUGAUACUUUUAUAAAGUACAAUAAAAAUAAAUUAGUAGAAAAAUGAAAUUUUAGUAGAAAACAAGCUCAUUUUAAAAAUUAAAGUGAACAGACAUAAAAAUACUGUCAGGUUCCUCUGUAAGUUUCUGAAUGUGUGGUCUCAAAUUUAUUCUUUCCUGUUCAUGAGCUGCUUGUGCUUUGAGUACCUCUCCUGUGGAGGAGUAACUUCUUUUCUUUUUUUUUGGCUUUAGGGCUGCACCCGCGGCAUAUGGAGGUUCCCAGGCUAGGGGUUCAAUCAGAGCUGUAGCUGUGGGCCUACACCACAGCAACGUGGGAUCUGAGCCGUGUCUACAACCUACACCACAGCUCACAGCAAUGCCAGAUCCUUAACUCACUGAGCCAGGCCAGGGAUUGAACCCGCAACCUCGUGGGUGCUAGUCGAGUUCAUUAACCGCUGAGCCAUGAUGGGAACUCCCCAAGUAAUUUCUUUUUGAUCAUAUACCCCAUCAGUUCAGAAUUCUAGAAACUGCCAUGUGUUGCUUGCAUUUAAAUCGUAUGCAUGUACUUCUGUGCAGUUAUACAAUGUGCACUAUAAAUUAGAAAAUAACUAAAGAUUGUAUAUGCUAUUUUAAAUUUUUAAAAUUUAUUAUUAAUAGUAAAAUAGUUCACUAAAAUAUUGUUUAGUGAAAGCAGUGUAGUUGAAAAUGCUUUAAAACUUUUGAAAGCCUUGGUUCAUUCAUAAAACAAAUAAUUAGUGUAUUAAACCCAUGGCAUUAUACAAUUAAAAUAUAUACAAUUAACAUUUGUCAAUUAUACUUUAAUAAAGCUGGAAAAUUAAAUAAAAAAUAAUCUAAGCCCUCUUCAGGUGAUACUAGACCAUGAUAAAUACAAAAAUCCUUGCACACAUGGAAUCUUCUUUCUAGUGGAGGUUAACAUUUUGUGAUAUGGUCAUUGAACUCUGGUUUUAGGGUUGAGCUUGUUUUAUAUUUGUUUUGGUUGCUGUCGUUGUUGAAAUAAAUGCCUUCCUUCCAAGGUAUACAGAUAAAAAUGGGAUAAUUAUGGUAUUUGUGUUUCCUUAAUAAUGGUCUUCAGUUUUCAAUAUUAUCUAACAAUUCUGGACAGGUUUGUAUUGAAAUUUGUCUGCUCAUUUUCUUUUUCCCUGAUGUUGAUCAUUUCUUGCACACUCAUCAGAAUGUGUUGUUUUGUUUUGGUUUGGGUUUUUUUGUUUUUUAGGGCCACACCCACGGCAUAUGGAGGUUCCCAUGCUAGGGGUCUAAUUGGAGCUGUAGCUGCCAGCCUACACCACAGUUACAGCAAUGCAGGAUCCGAGCCACGUCUGUGACCUAACCAGAGCUCAUGGCAAUGCCAGAUCCUUAACCCACUGAGAAAGGCCAGGGAUUGAACCUCUGUCCUCAUGGAUGGUAGUCAGAUUCGUUAACCACUGAGCCACAACAGGAACUCCCACGCAUGUGUGUAUUUUUAAUACAUUUUUUCAAAACCUAGUGAAACUGUGGAUUUAAACAGGUUAGGAAUUAUUAAUUUUCAAGGUGAUGUUCAGGUGAGAUUAUCUUUUUAAAGUGGGUUCGUUUACAUUUGUAACUGUAAAAGCUUGCCAACUCGCCGUGUAUCUGUUCACUAAUAGAUUACUUUAGUCUUACUGUCCUAAUUACUUUAGCUUUUAUAAGUCUUCCUGGGCAAUAGACUAGGAGUCCGCAAACAUGUUCUUCCUCUUCUUGAAGUAUAGCUGCAUUACAAUGUUGUGCUCUACAGCGCAGUGAUUUAUUUGUACAUAUGUAUUUUUAUAUUCAAUUAUGGUUCAUCACAAGACAUGGAAUAUAGUUCCGUGUGCCAUACAGUAGGACCUCGUUGUUUAUCCAUCCUCUCUGUAAUAGUUUGCAUCUCCCAAUCCUCCCCUCCCCAGCUUCUCCUCCUUGGUAACCACAAGUCUAUUCUCUGUAUCUGUCUGUCUUUGUUUCCUAGAUAUGUUGAUUUGUUGCAGUUAAGAUUCCACAUAUAAGUGAUAGCAUAUGGAUUUGUCUUUCUCUUUCUGAGUUACUUUGCUUAGUAUGAUAAUCUAGGUCUAUCCAUGUGCUGCUGCAAAUGGCGUUAUUCUUUUUUAUGGCUGAGUAAUAGUCCAUUGUGUGUAUAUUCACACACACACACACACACACACACAUCUUUAUCCAUUCAUCUGUUGAUGGACAUUUAGGUUGCCUCCAUGUCUUGGCUAUCCUAAGUAGUGCUGCAUUGAACUUUGGGUGCAUGUAUCUUUUCAAAUUACGGUUUUCUCUGGAUAUAUGCCCUGGAGUGGGAUUGCUGGGUCAUAUGUUUCUUAAUAUGAAACUCCAUUCUGAUCUUCGUAGUGGUUCUACCAGUUUACAUUGCCGCCCACAGUGGAGGAGGGUUCCCUUUUCUCCACACCUUCCCCAGCGUUUGUUAUUUGUAGACUUAGUAAUCAUGGCCAUACCAACCAGUGUGAGGUGGUCCUUCACUGUAGUCUUGAUUUGCCUCUCACUAAUUAGAGAUAGAGAGCAUUUUUUUCCGUGUACCUCCUAUCCAUAUGUAUAUCUUCUUUGAAGAAAUGUGUAUUUUUUGAUUGGGUUGUUUUUUUGUUGUUGAAUUGUAUGAGAAGUUUGUAUAUUUUGGAAGUUAAGCCCUUGUGGGUAGCACUAUUUGCAACUAUUUCUCCCAGUCUGUAAGUCGUCUUUUUGUUUUGCUUAUGGGGUUUACUUUACUGUGCAAAAGCAUGUAAAUUUGAUUAGGUCCCAUUUGUUUGUCUUUGUUUUUAUUUUUUUUGCCUUGGGAGACUGACCUAAGAAAACGUCGGUACAAUUUAUGUCAGAAUGUUUUGCCUGUGUUUUUUUGUAGGAGUUUUACGGUGCUCUGUCUUACAUUUAAGUCUUUAAGCCAUAUUGAGUUAAAUUUAUGUAUGGUGUGAGAUGUGUUCAGACUUCAUUGAUUUGCAUGCAAUUGUCAGCAAACUUCUUUUUUUCUUUUUAGGGCUGCAUCUGCAGCAUAUGCAAGUUCCCAGGCCAGGGGUCAAAUCAGAACUGCAGCAGGGGCUUAUGCCACUGGCAACACUGAAUCUGCAACCUGCACCACAGCUUGUGGCAAUGCCCGAUCCUUAACCCAUUGAAUGAGGCCGAGGAUUGAACCUGCAUCCUCACAGAGACCACAUCGGGUCCUUAACUUCUUGAGCCACAACAGGAACUCCAGCAACCAUGUUCUUAAAGGGCCAGAUAUGAAAUGUUGUAGGCUUUGCAGGCCGGAUGGUCUCUGCACACUACUCACCUCAACUACUGUAGAUAGGAAGUAGCUGUAGACAGUACAUGAACAAUGUAGAGUGACUAUGUCCCAGGAAAACUUUAUUUACAAAAAGAGGCACAUUGCUGUGAACCUGAAACUGGUCUGAGAAAAUAAAGUCUGCUGAAAGGAAAGCCCAGAGUUCCCAUCGUGGCUCAGCAGUAACAAACCAGACUAGUAUCCCUGAGGCUGUGGCUGCAAUCUCUGGCCUCGAUCAGUGGGUUAAGGAUCCAGCGUUGCCAUGGUGUAGAUUGAAGAUGCGGCUCAGAUCUUGUGUUGCUGUGGCUGUGGUGUAGGCCAGCAGCUGCAGCUCCGAUUCUAUGCCCUAAAAAAGAAAGGAAGGAAGGAAGAAAUGAAGGAAGAAGGAAGAAAGAAACGAAGACAGAAGCAACAGCAUCAUUUUUGUAUUCUUCUCGACAGUGAUGUAUAACCUAAAUCCGAUCAUCAGACAGAACUUAAUUAAGGGACAUUCUGCAAGAUAAUUGGCCAGUAAACUUCAGAAUUAUCAAGUUCAUAAGGACAAAGAAAGCAUGAAAAUUAUUCUAGGUUGAAGGAGACCAAAGAGAUAUGACAACUAAAUGCAACAUGUGGUUCUAACUAGUCAGAAUCUUGAACAAGUCUGAACAUUCUGUGGUAGAAAUGUGUUAUCACCUAUUUCCCAAUGGUGAUGGCUGCAUUAUUUGUUGUAGGAGAUUGUCCUUGUUGGAAAUAAACACAAAGGUGUCUGGGUGAGAUGGAGCAUCACUGUCAGCAGCUUACUCUCAAAGGACACAGGGGAAAAAUGGUUUUGUAUUGUACUUGCAACUUAUUCUAUAAGUUUGAGACAUUGUUUCAGCAUUCUUAAAACAUGUAUCAUUAACAGCAAGUAAAUUUGUUGCAGAAAAACAAAAACAGGCAGCCUAGUUUGACAACCCCCUACAUACUUUGAUGCUCUCCUGGAUAUUCUUGUUGUUACUGUUUCCAUACAAAUUUUAAAAUUAAUUUAUCAAUUUCCACCAAAAAAAAAAAAAA
RNAcentral lists this long non-coding RNA (6460 nucleotides) under Sus scrofa (pig). Its description in RNAcentral is "lncRNA (ENSSSCG00025068944.1)". The record is from RNAcentral. Lineage: Eukaryota; Metazoa; Chordata; Mammalia; Artiodactyla; Suidae.